AGCAGCCGCGGUAAUUCCAGCUCCAAUAGCGUAUAUUAAAGUUGUUGCAGUUAAAAAGCUCGUAGUUGAAUUUCGAGAUCAAUUUGUGGGUCGUGCCUCGGUACGUACUGGCAUUAUCGAUUUCUCCCUUCUGAAGAACCGCGAUGUCAUUAAUUUGGUGUCGUGGGGAAUCAGGACUGUUACUUUGAAAAAUUAGAGUGUUUAAAGCAGGCUUACGCUUGAAUACAUUAGCAUGGAAUAAUGAAAUAGGACGUUUGAUUCUAUUUUGUUGGUUUCUAGGAUCGACGUAAUGAUUAAUAGGGAUAGUUGGGGGCAUUAGUAUUCAAUUGUCAGAGGUGAAAUUCUUGGAUUUAUUGAAGACUAACUACUGCGAAAGCAUUUGCCAAGGAUGUUUUCAUUAAUCAAGAACGAAAGUUAGGGGAUCGAAGACGAUCAGAUACCG
This 442-nucleotide ribosomal RNA is filed under the name uncultured Glomus. Its description in RNAcentral is "SSU rRNA". It matches the Rfam family "Eukaryotic small subunit ribosomal RNA", at positions 569 to 1017 of the family's 1831-position model. Lineage: Eukaryota; Fungi; Glomeromycota; Glomeromycetes; Glomerales; Glomeraceae. The record is from RNAcentral.